CGCAGCUGUUGUUUUAAAAAAGGCAGCCCAGGCACCCAGACGGAACAAUACAGGCACCCUUAACAUGUCAUUCCUGUUGAAAGCCAAGGAAGCCCACGCGCAUACCCAGGCCUUGAUCUCAACUAACAUGAAGCUGAGGACUUCAACCAGGC
This 152-nucleotide long non-coding RNA is filed under the name Salvator merianae (Argentine black and white tegu). Its description in RNAcentral is "lncRNA (ENSSMRG00000007454.1)". The record is from RNAcentral. Lineage: Eukaryota; Metazoa; Chordata; Lepidosauria; Squamata; Teiidae.